Molecule: ribosomal RNA, 722 nt
Filed under: uncultured eukaryote
Lineage: Eukaryota
Description: SSU rRNA
Rfam family: Eukaryotic small subunit ribosomal RNA
Source: RNAcentral
GGUAUCGCCGUUAGUCAUGUGCAAAUAUGGAUAGCUGUUUUAGCCAUCUUUAUUGACUGGUUUAUAAGAGUUAUCAGAUAUCACUUUGAUUAAAUUAGAGUGCUUAAAGCAAGUGUGUUACUUGGAUAUAAAUGCAUGGAAUGAUGGAAUAUGUUGUUAUUCUAUUUGUUGGUUUUUGAAUGAUAAAAUGAUUGAAAGGAACUGUUGGGGGCAUUCGUAUUGUUGUGAGAGAGGUGAAAUUCUUAGACCACAGCAAGACGAACUACUGCGAAAGCAUUUGCCAAGAAUGUUUUCAUUGAUCAAGAACGAAAGUUAGAGGUUCGAAGGCGAUCAGAUACCGCCCUAGUUCUAACCAUAAACUAUGCCAACUAGCAAUUUGCUUUGUAUUUUUUAUGACUAAGUGAGAGGCCACGGGAAACCUAAGUAGGGUUAUGGGGGAAGUAUGGUUGCAAAGCUGAAACUUAAAGGAAUUGACGGAAGGGCACCACCAGGAGUGGAGCCUGCGGCUUAAUUUGACUCAACACGGGAAAACUUACCUGGUCCUGACACUAGAAGGAUUGACAGAUUGAUAGCUCUUUCUUGAUUUGGUGGAUGGUGGUGCAUGGCCGUUCUUAGUUGGUGGAGUGAUCUGUCUGGUUAAUUCCGAUAACGAACGAGACUCUAGCCUAUUAAAUAAUACACGGAAUUUUAUCUUCCGCGGCAUUUCUUAGUGGGAUCAAGCG